AAAAUUUCCAACUGGUUUGUCUACUGAUCUAUAUGUUAUUUCCAUUAUUGCCAUUUUAGAUUUAUUUUUAAUGUUAAAAAAACAAACUGUAGAAAUGUUGCGCUAUUAUUAUUUGUCCUUGGGACAAUGCCAUCACCCUUUGGUGCUUACUAACAUCUUUUCCAAACCACGAGCAAAAGCCCUGGCCCUAACACUCCAUGAAAAUUUCAUCACCACAAUUCCAAAUCAAAUAAUCUCCUGUCCUAAGCUGUAAAAGCAUAACUGCCUAUUCCUGUAAAAACUGUAAUUUUCAACACAUUUGCUCAUCAUAUAUAUUAAUGGCCUAUGUAUUUAUUCAUCCUGCUGCAAUUCCAUCAAUCAGAAAAAGAUAAAACCCCAAAUACUGACAAAGACAACACUGUAUGCUCCUCAAAUGAGCAUUCAAGAGCGUUCCUCCAUGGGCAUGUUAGAAAAUUUAACAAACGAUAUAGAAACAUCAUUCCUUUUGAGAAGUGAAAAAUGAAUGGCAGGGUAAAUGGCUCCAUAUCAUGGCAUUCUAACUUGCUACCACAGUCAUUUCUUUACAUCCACUAGCAAUGGUGACCAAAACCAAUUUCAUUUCUAACAUCCUUACCCAGCAAUCUGAACAUGUAGUAUGCAAUCGAAUUCGUGUAGUAUACUACACGAAUAUUUACGUGUAGUAAAUAACACCUUAAACUUUUAGAGUCCCUUUAAAAAAGUAAAAAUAAAAUAACAUUCAGUAAAAC
Molecule: long non-coding RNA, 746 nt
Filed under: Homo sapiens (human)
Lineage: Eukaryota; Metazoa; Chordata; Mammalia; Primates; Hominidae
Description: non-protein coding lnc-CFI-2:1
Source: RNAcentral